Non-coding RNA from Caenorhabditis elegans, 21 nucleotides. The record is from Ensembl. Lineage: Eukaryota; Metazoa; Nematoda; Chromadorea; Rhabditida; Rhabditidae.
UAAUUACACUGCUGUUGGAAA